This is a long non-coding RNA of Octopus sinensis (East Asian common octopus), 279 nucleotides long. RefSeq lists it as uncharacterized. The transcript has 2 exons. The record is from RefSeq and is a predicted model, not a curated record. Lineage: Eukaryota; Metazoa; Mollusca; Cephalopoda; Octopoda; Octopodidae.
UAUCUAUCUAUCUAUCUAUCUAUCUAUCUAUCUAUCUAUCUAUCUAUCAUCUAUCUAUAUAUAUAUAUAUCUUUAUGUACGUAUGUAUAGAUAAAUCCAUAACACAAAACAGCCUGACUUCACCCAGGCUACGCCAUUCCGUGUCUGUCUUUAUGACUUUACCGAGGAAUUUUCUUGAUGUGAUACCAGACUAAAAAGUGAUUAAUAUUCUUCAAACAUUUUUUUCUUAACAAGCAAAAAAAAAAAAAAAAGAAAGGAAGAAAGCAAAGGAAGAAAAGU